CCUACGGGAGGCUGCAGUGGGGAAUAUUGCACAAUGGGCGCAAGCCUGAUGCAGCCAUGCCGCGUGUGUGAAGAAGGCCUUCGGGUUGUAAAGCACUUUCAGCGGGGAGGAAGGCGGUGAGGUUAGUAACCUCAUCGAUUGACGUUACCCGCAGAAGAAGCACCGGCUAACUCCGUGCCAGCAGCCGCGGUAAUACGGAGGGUGCAAGCGUUAAUCGGAAUUACUGGGCGUAAAGCGCACGCAGGCGGUCUGUCAAGUCGGAUGUGAAAUCCCCGGGCUCAACCUGGGAACUGCAUUCGAAACUGGCAGGCUAGAGUCUUGUAGAGGGGGGUAGAAGUCCAGGUGUAGCGGUGAAAUGCGUAGAGAUCUGGAGGAAUACCGGUGGCGAAGGCGGCCCCCGGGACAAAGACUGACGCUCAGGUGCGAAAGCGUGGGGAGCAAACAGGAUUAGAUACCCGAGUAGUC
Molecule: ribosomal RNA, 465 nt
Filed under: uncultured Klebsiella sp.
Lineage: Bacteria; Pseudomonadati; Pseudomonadota; Gammaproteobacteria; Enterobacterales; Enterobacteriaceae
Description: bacterial SSU rRNA
Rfam family: Bacterial small subunit ribosomal RNA
Source: RNAcentral